UUUCAUUUGAAAGAGUAAAGUUCAGCCACAAGUGUUAUUACAAAAUUACCAAAUAUUUUACCAACCAACCUUAAAUUAUUCUUUUCCCAGGUACCGCUCUUUAAAUCCAUUUUGGGCAAUAACUUAAUUAAGAACUUGGACCAAAUAAUAAGCCCUGAAGUAAUAAUGCAACUAAAUUACAGUGGGUCUAAGCACAAGUAUGGACUAGCAAAUUUUCACAAUUUAAAUUCAGUACUGCAAGAAUCACUAAAACGGGAAGGAUAUUCCUUAUUGGAAUACAUAAAAGACGUCCGAUUGGCCUUUUUGCGCCAAAAAAAAUAAAAUAUAUAAGGGGAGAAGCGCAUUAAAGAAGGCCCAACCGGAGCCAGGAGCCGAACC
Molecule: long non-coding RNA, 378 nt
Organism: Drosophila subpulchrella
Lineage: Eukaryota; Metazoa; Arthropoda; Insecta; Diptera; Drosophilidae
Exons: 3
Source: RefSeq, a predicted model, not a curated record